GAUGAACGCUGGCGGCGUGCUUAACACAUGCAAGUCGAACGGAAAGGCCUCUGCUUGCAGGGGUACUCGAGUGGCGAACGGGUGAGUAACACGUGGGUGAUCUGCCCUGCACUUCGGGAUAAGCCUGGGAAACUGGGUCUAAUACCGGAUAGGACAAUGGUUUGGAUGCUGUUGUGGAAAGUUUUUCGGUGUGGGAUGAGCUCGCGGCCUAUCAGCUUGUUGGUGGGGUAAUGGCCUACCAAGGCGUCGACGGGUAGCCGGCCUGAGAGGGGGUACGGCCACAUUGGGACGGAGAUACGGCCCAGACUCCGACGGGAGGCAGCAGUGGGGAAUAUUGCACAAUGGGCGCAAGCCUGAGGCAGCGACGCCGCGUGGGGGAUGACGGCCUUCGGGUUGUAAACUCCUUUCGCUAGGGACGAAGCGUUUUUGUGACGGUACCUGGAGAAGAAGCACCGGCUAACUACGUG
Molecule: ribosomal RNA, 467 nt
Filed under: uncultured bacterium
Lineage: Bacteria
Description: partial 16S ribosomal RNA
Rfam family: Bacterial small subunit ribosomal RNA
Source: RNAcentral